UACGUAGGGACCAAGCGUUGUUCGGAUUUACUGGGCGUAAAGGGCGCGUAGGCGGCAAUUCAAGUCAUCUGUGAAAUCUCCGGGCUUAACUCGGAAUGGUCAGGUGAUACUGCUUUGCUAGAGUGCAGAAGGGGCAAUCGGAAUUCUUGGUGUAGCGGUGAAAUGCGUAGAUAAUCAAGAGGAACACCUGAGGUGAAGACGGGUUGCUGGGCUGACACGUGACGCUGAGGCGCGAAAGCUAGGGGAGCAAACGGG
Molecule: ribosomal RNA, 255 nt
Filed under: uncultured bacterium
Lineage: Bacteria
Description: partial 16S ribosomal RNA
Rfam family: Bacterial small subunit ribosomal RNA
Source: RNAcentral